GACGAACGCUGGCGGCGUGCUUAACACAUGCAAGUCGAACGGAAAGGCCCUGCUUUUGUGGGGUGCUCGAGUGGCGAACGGGUGAGUAACACGUGAGUAACCUGCCCUUGACUUUGGGAUAACUUCAGGAAACUGGGGCUAAUACCGGAUAGGAGCUCCUGCUGCAUGGUGGGGGUUGGAAAGUUUCGGCGGUUGGGGAUGGACUCGCGGCUUAUCAGCUUGUUGGUGGGGUAGUGGCUUACCAAGGCUUUGACGGGUAGCCGGCCUGAGAGGGUGACCGGCCACAUGGGGACUGAGAUACGGCCCAGACUCCUACGGGAGGCAGCAGUGGGGAAUAUUGCACAAUGGGCGGAAGCCUGAUGCAGCAACGCCGCGUGCGGGAUGACGGCCUUCGGGUUGUAAACCGCUUUCGCCUGUAACGAAGCGUGAGUGACGGUAAUGGGUAAAGAAGCACCGGCUAACUACGUG
RNAcentral lists this ribosomal RNA (468 nucleotides) under uncultured bacterium. Its description in RNAcentral is "partial 16S ribosomal RNA". It matches the Rfam family "Bacterial small subunit ribosomal RNA", at positions 28 to 507 of the family's 1533-position model. The record is from RNAcentral.